AUGCGCGCAAGGGCUGCCCUGUACGACGUUUCGCUUCUCUGCGGUUCGUGGUGCCUGAAGUGGGAAGUGAGGCGAUGGCGGCGAAGGAGGGUGGCGGAGGGGGGAGGGAGAGAGAGGAACGGGUCGAUAAAGGGCGGAGGGGCAGCGGGGGAGCUUGGCUUCGUCACUCCCACACAAGGACGGGGGUUGGUGCAAGGAAAAGCUGUGCCUUCCCGCCCUUCCCCUCUAGUGCAGGAAUGCCGUUGUUGUUUCUGCCGAAAUAAGCGUGUCGGCGCCGGCGCUGAGUACGUUGUAGUAGCAAUUCUACAAUAGAAGAUCCUGAUUUACAUCAUCGUGAUGUCUUACUGUGGGGAAAGGUAUAUUGCCUACGUUGAAGCACAUGACUAGCUAAACAUAUUUAAGCUAUGUUAUACUGAAUGAAAUACCUGGCCGAGGAUGAAAAACAUGUACUGAGUGUGGUGAACAAAUCUGAUGAAUUAAAGGAUUUUCUGAGGCCAGAGUAGCAACAAGUAGAUUUAAAUUUACACCUGCCUUUGCAGUUGUUUCCGUUUUUAAAAUUAGCCUUAGAGACACUUCCAUGUCUAAAGAACUUGGUUGUUUUGUAGUCUUCCAUUCUGGUUAAGACUGCUUCCAAUAGUUACUGGAUGAGACAGAUUAUCUAGAUCUAUUUGAGUCUAGUUUCAGGUCUGGCUAUAGGACAGGCAAAGUUUUGCUUGUCUUGAUGGAGGACCUGUGCUGACUGCUAUAUACAAGGUGCAGUUGCUUUAACCAAAAUAAUUUUCAGGAAUCUGUUAGUUACCAUAUUUUUCUGUGUAUACGACAGCCCAUGUAUAAGAUACCCCUCACUUUUCUAAUCCAAAAUUAAGAAAUCUAAGAGGGUCUUAGCAAGUGCAGGGGGAAAGAGAUCAAAGCGCUAAAGGAUCACUUUGAUCCCUGCUUUCCCCUCUACUUGUUUUUGUUCCCUCCUCAGAUUACUUCCGUGUAUAAGACAACCCUCAAUUUUUAGUCUAAAGAUUUUAGACAAAAGUAUAGUCUUAAACACGGAAAAUACGGUAUCUUAAUGUAGCUUUCUUCAACAAAUAUUAACACCUGAUGGAUGCUGGUUUUGUAAUUGUAAGCAUAGGAACUGAGUGCAGGUAUUGAAAGGAGUUGAAAAUAAUAUAGUGGCUGAAAUCCUGUUGCUUAGCAUAGCAUGUUGCAACUGGCGUAGUCCCAUUGAGUCACUGAAACUUGUAGAUGAGUUGAUUCACCAAAUCCUCAUUGAUUCAUUGGGCCUACUCUAAUUGUGAUGCAUUAUACUAAGCAACAGGUUCUAGCCAUUUUCAUCUGUUUUCUUAUCUACCUACAGUGUAAUCUUAGAAGAGUUGCACUAAUAUACAAACAUAACUUAUGUUACUUCAAGUCUUCAGUGUUAUAUGUGUUUUGAAUUACAAACCCUUACAUAUAAAUGCUUAAAAAUUCAUCUUGCAGUUGAUUUCAUUGCACCAUUAUUUGUCUUUUUGCAGGCAGCAUGAAUUAUAGGAUGACUGGCGACUAUUUAUUUAUUUUUUUUUUGCUUACAAGAAGAUAAUUUAAAAGAAAGAAUGCUUACAAUUGCGAUUCAAUUUUUUUAACAAAAUUAAAUGGUACUAUCUGAAGGAACAUUGAGACAGGCUACAGUGCUUAAAAUUGUACACAACAACAAGCUGACAUAGGAGAUGUAACAGGUGGAAGGGAUGCUAUGGAUCAUUAAGACCAGCCCUUGUCAGGGAGGCACAGUGGGGAAUCUAACUCCCAACCUCUGGCUCUGCAGCCAGAUACCUAAAUCACUGACCUAUUCAGCAGUUCAGUUGUUUCCUUGAAGUAAAAGUAAUAAUAUAUUGUGGUGAGACUAACCUAUAAUUUCAUUAGUAAUAGUUUGUUAGUGAAAUCAGUUGAUUUUUUAAUGGCAUCAGUUAGCAUAGAGACCAGUAGUAAGUAGAUAAAUUUUGGGGAAACAUAUUUGGAAAUAGGAGGAAUCUUUGGUUUUCCUCACUGAAUUCUGAAAGAGAAAAUUACAUUUUUUGGAUGUGUGAGUACUGUAUUUUUCCAUGUAUAAAACACCCUCAUGUAUAAGGCUGCCUCUGCUUUUCUAACCCAACAUUAAGAAAUCACUAUUUUAAACAUAAAACAGAACACAUUUCUUUUUUUAAAAAAAGUAUUCAAAUACUAAAGGCAUAUUUAGUACUGGUAAUUAGGUAAUAUUUUAAAGAUGAAAUUUUGCAUCACUCUCCAUGGUGGGCAUAUAACUUGCUUCAACCUUGGUGGAUGCAAGGUUCUCUAAGCUGGGCUCGCGCGUGCAUGUGUCUCUGCUUCCUUCCGCACAGCGUUCUUCCUCCUUGAUCACAUUCAACCCCUUAGGUUCCAGUCAUGAGGGAACCCCGCGUGCGGGGGGGGGGGCAGAGUCACACAGGCACACAGGGAUGAAGUCGCACAUGGGAGAGGUGGAGCCCCGCCCAUUGGUGUUGAAAAUUACAGAGUAUGUUGGGCCGAAGUCUGUAGAGACAAGGUAUCAGCAGUUUUGCUGUGCAACUGCGGGGUUUUCUCAACCUGUUAUCCCUGUGUAUAAGACACACACACCCCAAUUUUUGGUCUAGACAUUUUAGAAAAAAUGUAAUCUUAUACAUGGAAAAGUACAAGAUAUAGGAAUAAAGAUGGUUCUUUGGAUAGAGGUUUAUAUAGA
This 2701-nucleotide long non-coding RNA is filed under the name Pogona vitticeps (central bearded dragon). RNAcentral describes it as "lncRNA (ENSPVIG00000016305.1)". The record is from RNAcentral. Lineage: Eukaryota; Metazoa; Chordata; Lepidosauria; Squamata; Agamidae.